Molecule: long non-coding RNA, 4388 nt
Organism: Marmota monax (woodchuck)
Lineage: Eukaryota; Metazoa; Chordata; Mammalia; Rodentia; Sciuridae
Exons: 3
Source: RefSeq, a predicted model, not a curated record
UGUUGAACGUUUACUGUCUGUCUUUAUCGUCUGUGUCGUGUGUGCCUGCUUUCACUGUUUGUGUAUCUUUCAUUAUGGGACAGAGCACUUCACCGCCUCUGUCCCUGACCCUUGAUCACUGGACCAAAGUCUGCUUAAAGGCCCAGAAUCUUUCUUUUUCAGUAAAACGCCAGACCUGGCAGACUCUCUGUGCCUCAGAAUGGCCCACCUUUGGAGUCGGAUGGCCCCCAGAAGGAUCUUUAUACUUCCCACUAAUUUGAAAAGUCAGAGAUAUUGUCUUUGUCUUUCAGCCGGGACCACAUAGCCAUCCAGAUCAACAGCCAUAUAUCUUAACUUGCCAGGACCUCUGUGAAUCUCCUCCUCCAUGGGUAAAGCCUUUCCUUGUCCCUGCCCCCCACUCCUACUCCUUCCCCCACGAUUCUGUCUCUCAAACCCUCUGCUCCUCCUCCUCCUCCACCCUCUGUUCUCCCUGAGUCUCAAGAUUUGACUCUACUGGACUCUCCUCCCCCUCCUUAUCCCCUGCCCUCAUCCCCCAACCCCCAACACCCUCUAAGUGAUUCCCCUGCUGCUGACUCAGCCUCUCUGCCAUUGGAGGAAGCUAAGCUGGCCCAGUGCCCUCCAGAUGACUCCCCCGCAGCCCACACAGCCCCUCCUCCCCUGGAGGAAACUGGCCCAGCUAAAAGAACUCAAAGAACUUGCCAGCGUUUUCACACCAGCCUACUUGGGAUGACUGCCAACAACUCCUAGGGACUCUCUUCAUGACAGAGGAACAAAAGAGAAUCCUCCUGGAAGCUAGGAAAAAAAUAUCCUUGGACCAGAUGGGCGACCGACACAACUUCCCCUUGAACCAACCCAACUGGGACCCCAACACCUUUGAAGAUAGUCAGUUGCUGUUUGCUUUCGAAUGGAUAAACCCAGAAACCGGAAUGUCUGAUCAACUAACUUGGACCAGACUCCCACAGGGGUUCAAAAACUCCCCCACUCUCUUUGAUGAAGCCCUCCACAGAGAUCUCAACAACUUCAGAACUAUGCACCCCGAAGUCACCCUGCUUCAAUAUGUGGAUGACCUGCUACUGGCAGCUGAUACAAGGAAAACUAUAACAUUUUCAGGAUGGAUUGAAGCCUUCCCCACAAAAAAAAGAAACUGCCCAAAUGGUGGUCAAGAAGAUCCUGAAAGAUAUUUUUCCAAGAUACGGCCUGCCUAAGGUAAUAGGGUCUGAUAAUGGACCGGCGUUCGUGGCCCAGGUAAGUCAGGGGUUAACCAGGACCCUGGGGAUUAAUUGGAAGUUACAUUGUGCUUAUAGACCCCAGAGCUCAGGACAAAUAAAAAGAAUGAAUAGAACCAUUAAAGAGACCUUAAGCUUAGAGACCAGCAUAAAAGAUUGGACUAUGCUCCUGCCUUAUGCACUGUUUCAUACAAGAAAUACUCCCUCUGUUUCUUUGUGUAACCUCACCCCCUAUGAAAUUCUCUAUGGUGCCCCUCCUCCAGUAAGGGACCUAACCCCAACUCUAAGACCUAACGAUCCCUUCCACACCCCCUUGCUUGACAGACUUAAAGCUCUUAAAAAAACUCAGUGAUACCUGUGGAAACAGCUGGCCACUGCCUACCAACCUGGGGACGAAGGAACUCCACACCAAUAUCAAGUGGGAAACUUCAUCUACGUAAGACGACAUCAGGUGUCAUCCCUGGAACCCCGCUGGAAAGGACCAUACCAGGUGCUACUUAUAACACCUACAGCGGUAAAGGUAGACGGAAUCACUUCCUGGAUCCAUGCCUCUCAUCUCAAGCCUGCGCCCUGUCCAGACUCUGGCUGGAAAUUGGAAAAGACUGGUAACCCUCUCAAAUUGUGUAUUUGCCAUGUGGAUAAGGCUAUGGACUCUCCCCUUGACCACCAGUAGUCCUAACCCUCAUCAGCCCGUUCAGCAGCGAUGGCUAAUCACAAAUCCUACUGGACAAGAAGUAUGAUCUAUCUCACAUACAGCCCCCUUAGGGACCUGAUGGCCAUCUCUCCACCCAGACAUUUGUCAGCUGGCUAUAGGUCUUUCCUAUUGGGAUAUCCCUGAUGAAGAGGAUCCCACUAAAAUUCCAUUAAAUCCCUUCCAUACCAUAGAUAAUAGAAACAAACAUUAUGGAUGUAGGGACACGCGAGCCAGAUGCAGGUUGGCUAACCUAGAUUACUAUGUUUGCCCGGCGGACUAUCAAAGCCACAAACAGUCACGGCUGUGUGGGGGAAAAGCCGACUUCUUCUGUAAGUCAUAAGGAUGUGAACAUACAGGGGCUACCUGAUGGAACCCAAACCUCCGCCGGUUCUCAGACCAUUGCCCCCUUGCUGAAGUAACAGGUACUGAGGUACCCCUCCACCCACUCACUCCUCUCUUCUCCUGUCAGUGCCCACACCGGGUCCCACCAGGUCCUCUUACCAUCUAACUCAAAGCUCAAACCAGCUGAGGAGAGCCCUCAGACCCCUAUCCAACAUGUAAUGAAAAUGGCCUUUAAAGUUGCUUUGUCAUCACUGAAAACAGGUUACUAAAAAUUUAAAGUCCCUCACAGGCUUUUUGGGAUACUCACUCCAGUCUUCCCCUCUGCUCUACCUGUUCUACUACUCAAGUUUUUGUUGCUAGGAAAAUCCCAAACCCCUUUCCCAUUAUUCUUUUACAUCUCUUCUUCCUCAUUCUCAGAUCCACGGAGCUGCUCUCAGCCCCGCCUUCCCCGUCUUCCCCCUCUGUACCAGGCCCACAGAAAAGUCUUAACUGACCUUCUCCAGAAGUCUUCACCAUGGCUGACUUUAGGACUUUCAACAAAAGAGUCCCUAUAAAAGAGUUCAGUGUAGAUAAACUUCCUCUUUUCAUGUUGCCCUGUUCUACUUGGCCACUGGCUGGAAAAAUCAGCACUCCUAAGCUAGACACCCCCUUACUAGUUUUUCACAAAAUAUGUAAACAAGGCCUUUGGCCUUGAGCUGGGGCUUCACAGAGAUGGCUACAUUUCUAAGAUAAAAAAGUUAUCAACUGGGCUCCAUGGUAACAGCUGGCAGGGGGAAAAAAGAAAAAAAAAGUUCUCCCCCUCCCAGGUAUCCUUAAAAAGUUAACUUGCCCAGAACAGAGGAAAAAAACAGAAACAAAAACUGCUUUUUGUGAACUUCUGCAGACUGUGAACUUCUGAGCCCCUUCCCUUACAUGUUGAGUACAAAAUUCUGAAACUACCUAAACUUGGGGUUCAUGGGAUUAAUUGAUUACAACAGAAGCAGUGCCCUCUGAAUCCGGUUGCAACCAAAUAGGACUGUUUCCCUGUCUUCGGUGCUAUCUUAGGUGCCUUGCCUUGUCCGUCCCUACAACAGUAUAAUUCUAUAUACUUAAACAUUAUUUAUGUUUUCAUGAAAUGGUCAACAGAUGUGAUUAAUUGUAUAAUGGUGCAGAUGUUUCCCAGAGUGCUCUAUCAUGACACAGUUUCAUUUGAAGAUCAAAUAAGGGGACAUACAACCCGGUUCCGCCGGGAACCUGUAUCCCUCACUUUAACCAUCCUAUUAGGAAUAGGAGUUGCUACAGGGGUGGACACAAGAACCACUGCCCUGGUCCAUGGGACACAACAAAUGACCCAAUUAGAAACAGCAAUGGACCAAAACUUAAAGAUAUUAAAAACCUCCAUCACAGCUUUGCAGGAAUCUUUAACCUCUCUCUCUGAAGUUGUUUUACAGAACAGUCGAGGGUUGGACCUCCUCUUCAUGAGAAAAGAAAGCCUUUGUGCUGCAUUGAGGGAAGAAUGUUGUUUUUAUGCCAACCAUACUGGAGUUGUAAAAUAAUCUAUGAAUAAAUUAAGAAGAUGCCUUUAAGAGCGUCAACGAGAGAGAGAAACCCAAAAAGGGUGGUAUGAGUCUUGGUUCACACAGUCCCCCUGGUUAACUAUGCUUUUAUCAGCCCUGGCUGGUCCUUUAAUAAUCCUUAUAUUGUUGCUAACUCUAGGACCCUGUUUGCUCAACCAUGUAGUUUCCUUUCUCCAAGCUCAAAUUGGACGAGUCAAACUUAUGGUAAUCAGACAACAAUAUACCCCACUAGCAGACCAUAAAAUGUGACACCCCCCAAUGAUCACUUUUAUGAUUAAAAGUAACCAGAAGAAAAAGUGGGAAAUGAAAGGUUAAUAAUCUUGAGAACUGUUUGCUAAUCUUGUUCCUAGAAGGUGCUGUCCCCAACUGCCAAACUGCAGAAUGUAUCCCCUCACCCGGUUGCAGGCAAACCGCCCACUCGCCCUGACCCGUCAAUGAACUUCCCUCCCUGCCCUCUCCAAGGAAAGUAUAUAAGCUCUGCUUAAGCUGUUCUCAGGGCUCUUUGCUCUAUUCAAGUGAGCUCUGAGCCCCAGCAUGCUGGACCCCAAUAAACCCUUUGCUGUUGCAUGA